This 70-nucleotide transfer RNA is filed under the name Cricetulus griseus (Chinese hamster). It matches the Rfam family "tRNA". Rfam says of the family: Transfer RNA (tRNA) molecules are approximately 80 nucleotides in length. The record is from Rfam by way of RNAcentral. Lineage: Eukaryota; Metazoa; Chordata; Mammalia; Rodentia; Cricetidae.
GGAGAGAUGGCUCAGUGGUUAAGAGCACUGGCUGUUCUUCCAGAGGACCUGAGUUCAAUUCCCAGCACCA